RNAcentral lists this ribosomal RNA (568 nucleotides) under uncultured marine euryarchaeote. RNAcentral's name for it is "bacterial SSU rRNA". It matches the Rfam family "Archaeal small subunit ribosomal RNA", at positions 27 to 591 of the family's 1478-position model. The record is from RNAcentral. Lineage: Archaea; Methanobacteriati; Methanobacteriota.
CCGCUAUUGGGAUUUCGAUAAUCCAUGCGAGUCGCGAGUCUUAGGACUCGGCGUACCGCUCAUUAACACGUGGGUAACCUGCACCUAUGCUGGGGAAUAACCUCGGGCAAACUGAGAAUAAUGCCACUCAUAGUUCACCACGCCUAGGAACUGAGCGAGGUGGAUCAAAGCUCCGGCCGGCUAUAGGAUGGGCCUGCGGCGUAUCAGGUCGUAGGGGGUGUAAUGUACCCUCUAGCCAUCAACGCGUACGGGUGUUGGGAGACAUUGCCCGGAGCAUGGAUUCUGAGACACCAAUCCAGACCCUACGGGGUGCAGCAGGCGUGAAAACUUGGCAAUGCGAGAAAUCAUGACCAGGGAACUCCAAGUGCAUCGGGUAAGACCGGUGCUUUUCUUGACUCUAAAUAGGUCUUGGAAUAAGGGGUGGCGUAAGGACGGUGCCAGCCGCCGCGGUAAUACCGGCGCCUCAAGUGGUAGGUCGCUUUUAUUGGCGCUAAAACGUCCGUAGCCGGUCUGAUGCAUUCGUGGGGUAAAUCAAGCGGCUCAACUGGUUGAAUUCUGCGAUGACAGG